RNAcentral lists this ribosomal RNA (928 nucleotides) under uncultured bacterium. RNAcentral's name for it is "bacterial SSU rRNA". It matches the Rfam family "Bacterial small subunit ribosomal RNA", at positions 8 to 916 of the family's 1533-position model. The record is from RNAcentral.
AGAGUUUGAUCAUGGCUCAGAAUCAACGCUGGCGGCGUGCCUAACACAUGCAAGUCGAACGCGAAAGCCCCGCAAGGGGUCAGUAGAGUGGCAAACGGGUGAGUAACACGUGGGUGACCUGCCUUCGAGCGGGGGAUAACGUCCCGAAAGGGACGCUAAUACCGCAUGACAUCCUGCCUUUGAAGAGGUGGAGAUCAAAGCUGGGGAUCGCAAGACCUAGCACUCGAAGAGGGGCCCGCGCCUGAUUAGCUAGUUGGUGGGGUAAUGGCUCACCAAGGCAACGAUCAGUAGCCGGCCUGAGAGGGCGGACGGCCACACUGGGACUGAGACACGGCCCAGACUCCUACGGGAGGCAGCAGUGGGGAAUUGUUCGCAAUGGGCGCAAGCCUGACGACGCAACGCCGCGUGGAGGACGAAGACCUUCGGGUCGUAAACUCCUUUCGAUCGAGACGAAUGGCUUCCGGGUGAACAAUCCGGAGGAAUGACGGUACCGAGAGAAGAAGCCCCGGCUAACUCCGUGCCAGCAGCCGCGGUAAUACGGGGGGGGCAAGCGUUGUUCGGAAUUACUGGGCGUAAAGGGCUCGUAGGUGGCCAACUAAGUCAGACGUGAAAUCCCUCGGCUUAACCGGGGAACUGCGUCUGAUACUGGAUGGCUUGAGAUUGGGAGAGGGAUGCGGAAUUCCAGGUGUAGCGGUGAAAUGCGUAGAUAUCUGGAGGAACACCGGUGGCGAAGGCGGCAUCCUGGACCAACACUGACACUGAGGAGCGAAAGCCAGGGGAGCAAACGGGAUUAGAUACCCCGGUAGUCCUGGCCCUAAACGAUGAAUGCUUGGUGUGGCGGGUAUCGAUCCCUGCCGUGCCGAAGCUAACGCAUUAAGCAUUCCGCCUGGGGAGUACGGUCGCAAGGCUGAAACUUAAGGAAUGACGG